RNAcentral lists this ribosomal RNA (492 nucleotides) under uncultured bacterium. RNAcentral describes it as "partial 16S ribosomal RNA". It matches the Rfam family "Bacterial small subunit ribosomal RNA", at positions 29 to 507 of the family's 1533-position model. The record is from RNAcentral.
AGUGAACGCUGGCGGUAGGCCUAACACAUGCCAGUCGAACGGCAGCACAGUAAGAGCUUGCUCUUACGGGUGGCGAGUGGCGGACGGGUGAGGAAUACAUCGGAAUCUACUUUUUCGUGGGGGAUAACGUAGGGAAACUUACGCUAAUACCGCAUACGACCUACGGGUGAAAGCAGGGGAACUUCGGACCUUGCGCGAUUGAAUGAGCCGAUGUCGGAUUAGCUAGUUGGCGGGGUAAAGGCCCACCAAGGCGACGAUCCGUAGCUGGUCUGAGAGGAUGAUCAGCCACACUGGAACUGAGACACGGUCCAGACUCCUACGGGAGGCAGCAGUGGGGAAUAUUGGACAAUGGGCGCAAGCCUGAUCCAGCCAUACCGCGUGGGUGAAGAAGGCCUUCGGGUUGUAAAGCCCUUUUGUUGGGAAAGAAAAGCAGCAGGUUAAUACCCCGCUGUUCUGACGGUACCCAAUGAAUAAGCACCGGCUAACUUCGUG